GCCGAAAUAGCUCAGUUGGGAGAGCGUCAGACUGAAGAUUUAAAGGUUACUGGUUCAAUCCUGGGUUUCGGCA
Molecule: transfer RNA, 73 nt
Filed under: Danionella translucida
Lineage: Eukaryota; Metazoa; Chordata; Actinopteri; Cypriniformes; Danionidae
Also listed under: 1 other name
Rfam family: tRNA
About the family: Transfer RNA (tRNA) molecules are approximately 80 nucleotides in length. Their secondary structure includes four short double-helical elements and three loops (D, anti-codon, and T loops). Further hydrogen bonds mediate the characteristic L-shaped molecular structure. tRNAs have two regions of fundamental functional importance: the anti-codon, which is responsible for specific mRNA codon recognition, and the 3' end, to which the tRNAs corresponding amino acid is attached (by aminoacyl-tRNA synthetases). tRNAs cope with the degeneracy of the genetic code in two manners: having more than one tRNA (with a specific anti-codon) for a particular amino acid; and 'wobble' base-pairing, i.e. permitting non-standard base-pairing at the 3rd anti-codon position.
Source: Rfam by way of RNAcentral